AUAUAUAUAUAUUUGGAACUUUUUAUUUUUGAAUUAGAACAACAACAUUUACAUGGAGAUGCAUUUGAGUUUCUUCUUCCCUUCUCCAGGGCAGUGUUUCCCUGAACAAAGUUCGAAUUUCCUUGUGUUCAUAAGAUCUAUCCAACUUAACCAAAUCACCAAUCAGUACAUAUAGUUCUGACAAGCUUUCUCUGUAUUCAUCUUAUCUGCUCUCUACUACAUUCUACAUUUUACUUUGAUCUAGCUAAAUAACUCACCCAAAAGACAAAAAUACAUUAAAAAAAUAAAUAAAAAUUAAUAAUAAUAAUUUUCACAUGAGAGUACUAUCUUUCUAACAUUUGUUUUAUUGGUUCCCAAAUUUUUUCAAAUGUCCCUAGUCCCAGUCAUAGUCUUGCAUUAAUUUGUUCCAUUUUGUAGACCUGUCUAACUCUGUCUCUCCACUGUGCCACCCUUGGGGGUUCUGUGUCCAGCCAUAAAACUGUAAUACACUUCUUGGCAGUCAUAAGCAGAAUUCUGAUUACGUAUGUCUCCAUUAUGUGUGUAUGAUUUUUGGUACAGCAUUUCCAGUACAAACCAUUUUAACUUAAAUUGUAAUUUCACCUUCAAGGUUCUUUCAAUUUCUCCCUAACACCUUCCCAGAAUGGUAUGAAUUUAGGGCAGUCCAAAAGUAUAUGUGAAAAGUCUCCCACUAGCCCGCAUUUUCUCCAACAUAAAUUUGAAACAUUACUAUUUAGAUAUGAUAAGUGGAGUUUUAAAGCAUGCAUCUUCACCUUCCAUUCAAAUUCCCUCCAAGAUGGACUAUUAGUUAGGUUAUGGCCUGCUUCAAGUGUUUCCUCCCAUUCCUCAUCUGUUAUCAUUAUGUUCACUUCCAGUUCCCAUUUUUCUUUAAUAUCUAUAUUCUUAACAAUCAAAUCCUGUUGUAAAGCUUUAUAUAUUUUGAAAUCAGUCCUUUUUGACAUGUCCUUUCUGUUUAACAUAAUCACUUCCUCCAUAUUAAGUUUAUCCUUGCUUGAAACUUUGCCUUAUUUUGAAAUAACUACUCUGUCUGUCUGUCCUAAAUAACAUAUUAAGCAUGAAAUUACGAAUUAUUGUGAAAUUACACUAACAGGAAGUGCUUUUAUUUUGUAGCAUUUGCUCAGUCAGCUCUCGAAGCUUCUCAGCAGACGGAGAAGAGCAAGGGUUGGAGGUCACCUCCAGGAGGUGCAUUAACCGUUGACGGUCGCGCUUUAGUUCUGCAUCUGCACUUGACAGUCACUGGUUCUGCACCACUGAGCUAAAUAUGUGUAAAUGUAGAGCAUCUGCGUUCCUAUGAGCUGUCAGCCACACCGGGAAGCCUGUCUAUGAAUCUAAAGUCAGACUUCAAUGAUCCAACCCCACUCUCUGCACACAAGAUUGAUGGCAUGCUGCUGUUGACCCCCAAGAGGUUCAUACAAGUGAGACCACUGGAAUUACAUGAUGUCCACACAAGGCGUACCACUGUUCUCCAUGCCCUUCCUGUCUAUCUACGUGAGGAAACCUCUGGGUUUUUGAGGACAUGUGUGGAUGAUACCAAUGAGCCGGACCUCAGGGAUGCAGCAGUUGUCCUCCUGACAACCAUCACCGAUGAUGCCGAGAGUCCAGUUACGUACGACCCAGUGAGAAUCUCUGUUAUCCCAGAGGGUGAUGUGAUUGUCAACCUCUCCAGCCUUCCUGAUGCCUUCCUGGGCAUGCUCAGUUGAAGUUUCCAUCUCUGCGCGUUCAAGAUGUAAGAAAAAUAACACGAAAGAAAUGCAACAAUGAAAACUUCAAAAAGGCAUCAACAACCAAGCAAGUGGAUCCAUAAAAUGGACUGAUUUUUGUAAAGGCAUUUUUAAAAAGUCUUUCAAAAUGGACAGAACUAACGCGUCAUGUUCAGAACAGUUUGUGUUCUCAUCUUUGAUUAAUCCUGGUAAACAGGUCUGUUUUUGUUCUGUUCUAAUUCUCUCUGUUUAAUAAAUUUAAACAAAAUGACUUAGCUAUUUUAUUUAAUUUUUUUUUUCUCUGCAUAAAGACGAAGUAUCAGUAAAUAGUGGAAAGUAAAUGUAUUGGUAGUAAGCAUAUAGCAGAUGUUAAAUGUUACUUGCAGUAUGUGUUUAUAGAAAAAAUAGAGAUACUUAAAUGUACUAAAAGAAUAUUACGUCAAGUUUACUGUAAAGUGUACUUUCAAAACUGUAAGUAUACUCAAUUAUAUAAGAAGUACACUACAAGUAAACAUAUAUUAUUACUUUAAGUAUAAUUUUAAGUAUACAUUCAAAGAGAAAAGUAUACUCUAUUAUUUCAGAAGUACACUACAAGUAAACUUAUAAUGUUAAUUAAAGUUUAUUUUUAAGUAUACUUUCAAAGGCAAAAGUUUACUCAAUUUUAUUAGAAGUAAACUUAUACUGUUACUUUUAAGUAUACUUUCAAUGAGAAAAGUAUACUCAACUAUAUCAGGAGUACACUACAAGUAAACUUAUAUUGUUACUUUUAAGUAUACUUCCAAGGAGAAAAGUAUACUCAAUUAUAUCAGAUGUACACUACAAGUAAACUUAUAAGUAUACUUUCAAGGAGAAAAGUAUACUCAAUUAUAUCUGAAGUACUCUAUAAGUAAACUUAUAUUGUUACUUAAAGUAUAUUUUAAGUAUACAUUCAAGAAGAAAAGUAUACUCAAUUGUAUGAAAAGUAAACUUAUAUUGUUACUUUAAGUAUACUUUCAAGGACAAAAGUAUACUUAAUUAUAUCAGAAGUACACUCCAAGUACACUUGUGAUGUUACUUUAAGUAUACUUUCAAAGAGAAAAUUAUACUCAAUUAUAUCUGAAGUACACUACAAAUAAACUUAAAUUAUUACUUUGAAGUAUACUUGUAGUAUACUUCAAGUAUACUUUUAGCAGCCCAAUUUAGUCCCAAGGAGUAUACUUCUAAGUAAACUUCAAGAACAAGUAUGCAAAUAAACUUCUGUAUACUUAAGUAUACUUGAAAUUAGAUACUUAAAGUAUACUUCUUUUUCGUAAGGGCAAGCACACUGCUUUACCUUUUAUUUCUGUGAAGCAAUACUUGGCGGUCCACGUCUUGUUAAAAACACGACAUUCGUUAUCAACUUUCCUUUUCUUAGAGUGUGCUGGCAUCUUGAGGGUAAAGUCAAUUUCUUCUUCUCCGUCAGUGUUGUUAUGAAGGCACGCAGCGUCGGCGCAAGGGCUCUCUCUGACACGCUUGCGGAGUCUGACGGAGACAUGCCCCCUCCCCCUAAAUGUCCGUCGAGAAUGUGGGAGAGCGCAUGCCUGUAAUUGAUCGGCACACUGUUUCCUUUCACAUACGCCACAUUUGUUGCUAUUCACCGACCCCUUCACUCAAUGCUCACACGCGGGCCAGAAGGAGAUGCACCAAGGGCAUCACUUGGUGCAGUUCCACUAAAAGAGUAUUUACCUGCAAAACAGCCUGUUAGCUCAGCUUUCUGCUGCUUCCUCUGUAGCAAGUUAGCAGUACACAGGUUAGCUGCAAAGUCUCUGAUGUUCCACAGGUUCCUGAAAAAUUAGCAAACUUAUUAACAUAAACUGCAAUAAUUUAUUCCAUGAAACCAGUAAUGAAUAUGUUAAGAUGAGUUUUUAAUACGUCUCUCUGGAACAGUAGACCAUUGUCCUGAGGCUAGCACAAUGGCUUGCUUAGCAGCUAGCUAGUGAACUAACGUCUGGUUAAAACCAACUUAAAAAGUGGUUUAACUUACAGAUUAACUAAGAAAAGAUAAAAUAUAUUAUCAAUACUCACUUUAGAUCCUCAGUAGACACCACAGACAGCAGAAAUAACGUGUUUGGGGCUCAAAAUUCAUGUUGUUGACCAGGUGGAAAAAAAAAAAGUCUUGGAGGCUACAUCACUUCCAGGUCACUGAACUGUCACUCAAGAGAAACCACUGUCCUAUGGGAGAGGACUUCUCAGAAGUCCCGCCCACCCGAAAGGGUUGUGUCAGAAUUGCAACCAAAAACUCAGGGAUUGCAAAGGAGAAAGCCAGACAGUGUAAGUGCAAAUCUGGUAGUGAGAGCAAAGCUCUGAGCAGCGAGAACAAAACUAAGGAAAUUGAUAACAAAAAUACAUAGAGGCAAACAGUAAAAGGAAACAUACUUUGUUACUCAUUUUAAGAAGUUGAUUCAGAUAGUAAGUUUUACUUUUGAAACACGUUUUUUUCCUUUAGUCAAUAUUUUUGUUCUGUCAAUUUUUUAAUGUUUGUUUGACCGUCAAAGUGUUUUUCUUGAUCAUUUUAAGAAUCUGAUUCAGAUUGUAAGUUUUUCUUUUGAAACCAAUGUUUUUUCUCUCAAUGUCUUAAAAUUUGUUUGCUCCCCAAAGUGUUUUUCUUGAUCCUAUUGGCACAAAUCUAAUCCCAUAUAUGUGUUUCAAAUAGAAUUAGAAAAAAGGGUUGUCUUUGUGCGUCUGAAUAGAUUUUGCUCGUUUCGGAGGAUAUUGACUCUGAAGACGGUCUGUGUGUGUGCUGCGUGCAGAGCAUGUGCCUGUGAGUUGGCUCUGUGUGUAAGGUGUCUAUUUUGACUUCAACUUUACUGAGGUUUUGUUGUGUCUGAAUGUGAAUGUAAGCAUGAAUGUCGAUAUGAUGUAAUAAUGAUGAUGCCGGUGUCCGAUCCCUGCAUCGGGACAGGGGUGUAAACCAUUGAAAGUCAAAUAGGGUCAUUUAGAAAAGAGAUAGAGGGGAAAAAGAGAUUCUCUCCAGGGGCUGUCAGGCUCCAUUUAAAGCUGUUAUAGCAAAUCCACAUUUGAACAGCUUCAUUUGGCCUGAAAUUAAUGUCUUGUGCUAUUUAAAUUUUCUAAAGAAGUACAUGCUAUGGAUAAGCAUUAAUAUGGUAAGGACAGUAAAGAAAAUGGCCAGUAACCGUAAAAAAUGACUGUGAAAUUUACAUAAAAAUGGUGUCAAUACACAACAGAAAUGUACUGUAAACUACAUAACACACAUUUUCUGUUGCAAUCACAGUAAAUGUUUGGAAAAAAUAAAUAAAUCAAAUACAUAUAAAACAAUAUAUUUAUGUAUAUCUACAUUAACAUCAUGUGGAAAAUAACCCAUUUAUUUAUUUAAUCAACAAACAGUGGUAAUCAAUACAGAAAAACACUGUAAUACUUAUAACUAGGGAUGAGCAAGUACACUACUAUCUGUAUCUGUAUCUGUUUAACCAACUAAAUUAUCUGUAUCUGUAUCUGUACUCGGAAUGGGCGUGGCAUAACCCGGAAGUGGGCGUGGUAUAACCGGAAGUGGGUGUGGUUUACAUCAAUAUAUUAUUUUAAGUCUGAAAUUGAUAUGGAUUGAUCAGAAGUUGCUAUGUGUAUUAUUUAUUUGAAAACUAUUUACAGAGCAGCCUCAGAAUUGAGAUUAAAUAUUUUUGAUCACAAUAGUAAAGGAACUAUUACAGAACAAGUUUUUCAAUAAAAUCAGAACAUUAAUAUUUAAGUGCAAGGAUUAAUACCAGGGAUGAGCCGGAUACUCGUUUCAGACGAGUAUCCGGUACGGAUAAAGCAUUUUUGACGAAUACGAGCAUGAAACGAGUAAAACGAGUCAAUAUCUGUAAUCGUGCUGAAGGAAAAUCCUCAUUGGGCAACUGACUGUCUUCACGCUCUGUGAUUGGCCAGUCACAUAGAGUGCCCGCCCCCUCCCUACACACAAAACUGCAGCCGGCCGGGAGCGCAGUCCGUCCGUCCGGCUCAUCCACGCACACACACAGACAGUAACGGAUCUCGCUGUGAUUGCUUCACUGUUUCUCACGUUUCUUCAGUUUUCUCUAGGUUUUCUUCAGCUCGCCUCUUUUUCAGUUGAAUUUUUAAAGUUACUUUUUUCGUAACUGACAUGGUGCAUUUGACCACAGUGUGUGUGUGUAGAUGAGCCGGACGGACUGCGCUCCCAGCCGGCUAGAGAGUUUUGUGUGUAGGGAGGGGCGGGCGCUCUAUGUGACUGGCCAAUCACAGAGCGUGAAGACAGUGAGUUACCCAAUGAGGAUUUUCCUUCAGCACGAUUACAGAUAUUUACGCGGUUUACUCGUUUCAUGCUCGUAUUCGUCAAAAAUGCUUUAUCCGUACCGGAUACUCGUCUGAAACGAGUAUCUGGCUCAUCCCUACUUAUAACAGAACAAAUUUUGACAAGAUUACAUCAAAAUAUUGUAAAAACUACAUUUUAUGCCAGUUCUUUUGAGAAUACAGAGAUCUGUAAGUCACUUUACAGGUUUAAGCUGUACAUUUAACACUAUUGAUUAAAUUAUGCCAAUUUUGAUUACAGAAAUAUUUUCAGUUAAAAAAUAUUAUUUAUAAUUGCAUCAUGAAACUGAGAAGUUAUGUGCUGCUGGGAUCAUGAGGGAGUCAAGACAAAUAUCAAAUGGCUACUCAACAAGUGACUAAUGGAUAGCUCAACUGGUAAAGCACCUGACCCAAGUUUAAAUCCAAGCUUGGACAAAUCCCAACAACCAAUCUUAGUCAUUAGUAAGACCCUUGCUGCUACUUACUACCUCACACCAUCAUACUACUGGCUGCAAUAUCACCUAACUAAAUAAGUUUUGAUUCAAGAAAGGGUUUAUUUAUAAACAACAUUGCUAUGAAAAAUUAAGUAUGGCUAUAAAUCAUGACUUAAGGAUAGUUUGAUAGCUGAUUAAAAGACUUAUAAAUUAAUAAAUAGAUAAAUUACAUUAUUUAAAACAGCGAGGACUAUGGUAAUACGUUUUAAUGGGGUUAAAAAUUAAUGCAAAGACAUUAAAAGUGUUGUAAAAACGGCAGAUUCUAAUAAAAACCGAUGAAUAAAGAUGCCUGAGAAAUUAACUGAAGCUGAGAUUGAGCUCAAUUGUCAAAGUAGCUGAAUUAUUGGCAGAAAUUUCCACUAUUACACAAAGAGCUUAAAAUAGAUGCAAUGUGUCUCCAUAUCACCAUGAGAGUGGAAACGGAGCUGGCCCAAGAUACAGUAAUGUUUUUUCAUGCUGGUCUGGUUCCUCUUUCCACUGAAUGGUUUUGCACUGAUAAAAAAAUCAUUUGUGUCAUGCGGCGUUGUUUUACCCACCACCAGCAUAACAAUGUUCCAGGCACAAGCCACUCCUCACAUCUCCUUGUCUAAACCUACAGAUAUCACGUGGCAGGAAGUUGGUGUGCAGACUAAAAUAGCCCACCAAGCCACAGACUACACCCAAGUUGAUAAAACAUGGUUUUAUAGUCAAAGCAGCCUUUCAACUUUUGGGACGCUUUGUGCUGCAUGACAUCGACUGGCCUAGAAAAACACAUAUUAUCUGAUAAGGACCUAAAAGAUCUAGAAAACAUACCUGAAACAUUAUGGUCAAAGGGUCUCACUGAUGUUGGUCUGAUAACAUCCAUACCACCAGAGCAGAUAAAACCUAAAUCUGACUGGAGGCCAUGAGUUUCUCGAUAUCCUCUAAAACCAGAAGCUGUGAAAGGGAUUCGGCCUCUAAUAGAUAAUUUGUAAAAAUUUGUUAAAAAUAUGAAGUAAAAUUAAAGUUAAAUAGUCAAACAUUUAUGAAAAGCUGAGUUGAAAUGCCCAGAAUAAUUAAAUCAGUAUUAAUCAGUUAACCUCCAACUGUGUAAGUUCUCCCACUUAAAACAUGGAGAGAGAGAAACAAAAAGAAGCUCCGAAGAACAGACGUUAACUCGUUGAUAAACAAAGGUGCACAGCUCAGUCCUGAAACACAAUCAUAUGACAUCAUUACAAGCCCAUCCUACCAAAAUCACUUUUUAACACUGCUGCAAUUUUGACACAUGGCCUACUAAUGUGUCAACAGGGGGGAUGGAAAAGCUAAUAAACAAGCAUUUUCAAACAUACCAUUUAACAACCUUCUUACAUUUUUUUGUGUGAAAUUAUCAGUAAUUUUGUUUCAGAAAACUUGAGGGAAAACAAUUUAGCAAUAUCAGAGUCACAAUCCUCAUCAGCCUCCAAUUUAGACCAGAAUCACUAACAUUUCAACUCAAAUUCAAUGUGCAACGCAUUCAUCUUAAAGACUAUUCCACAAAUCCUUCUGGUUGAUGGGGCUUGAAGCUUGAUCUCCUUCUGAAGUGGAAAACACUGCAGAAACGUAAUAGGGAAGAAUAGCUUAAACGUUUACAUAUAAGCAGAUAUUAUCCUAUUUAAUCCAGAGAACAAAACAGGCUCUUGAGUGUCACAAGACAUCAGCCAUCAUCAAACCACUCCCAAGUACGGUGAUUAACUUUUUGUUAUUGAUCACAUAUUUAUUUAUCACCAUAAUUUGCUAUCAGAUCCUUAAAGAGUACACAGAGCGACCACUUGGAUUAUCUAUUCCUAACUUUAUCAUAUUUUAAAAUGAAAAUUACCAGCUUCAAAAUUUAGAUGGGCUUAACAAAUAAGCCUUUCCGUUUUAACCAUAAGGUCGAAGGUCCAUGGUUUCUAUCGUUCAAGAUGAUUAUUUUAGCUCUCAUUCAUUUUAAGAACUCUAUAUUUGAACUUGUGUUUAGUUCUUUUGCUAUUUUUAAUUGUCUUAUUUAAUGUUGAAUCAUUUACCUAAUUCAUCCUUCUUAAAAAAUAUGCAAAACCAUUAUUCCUAAUCAUGGAAUCCCAGAAACCACCCACAGUGACAAUGGCAGCCAUUUUGUAAAUGAUGUAAUAAGUAAAAAGUGUUUAGACUUAGUGAAAAUGUGCAUGGGAAUCACGCCUACUCUGACAGGCCUGACCCCAUAUGAAAUCAUUUCAGAUUCCCAGUUUUCUCACCAGACUUAGAGAAGAAGAGCAAACAUUAGCAGACUACAUGAGGAAACUACUAAAAACAAAUGAAAUGCACCAACAACUUUCACUGCCUGCAGAUUCUUUGUCUCCACAGGAACAAGAACCAGUGAAACCUGGGGACUGGGUGUUCAUUAAAGUCAUCAAAAGAAAAACAUGGUCCAGUCCAAAGUGGGAGGGACCAUUUAAGUACUCCUGACCACCCCCGCCACAGUGAAGAUAGCUGAGAGAUCAACAUGGAUCCACCUCAGUCACAGUAAGCUGCAGAGUGUCCUGGGAAACUAACACAUAGGUGAGGGGUGAAGAAUCCGGAGGCAUCUGUAAAGAAUGAGUAGUUUACAUCUUACUUUAUGAACCAUAAAAUGUGAGAUUCCAUAGAAAUAUGAAAUAUCAAUCUGACGGACCUUUGACUAUUUUAACCAGAAGAUUGGAUCUUUUUAUUGCAGGGAUUAAGCAACACUUCGUAUUAACUCCAAGGAGAGAGAGUCAGGUUUAAAAUAGUUAAGAAAUUUAUUUCUACACAAUUUAAACAAGACUAACUUUAACACUCUGUGUACUGAUGGACUAAGGUGGAGUGAGACAUGAUGAAUGAUGGUGUGUGUGUGGAAUGUUAUUAUCAGAACCAGCAGAUCUGGAGAAGCAGUUAGUUGUGAGUGGGAGUGAAUGUUUCGCUCUAAACUUUAGUCGGAGAUUUAUAACACACGAGACACCAUCUGUUGGUCUACGUACCCAGGGGAAGCCUCCGUUAGAUCCAGAAUGUCGAGGUCCUCUUGGACCCUCCUUGGUACCGAAGCCGGUAGAAAAGCAGCGAGGCCGACCAAACUAGUCUUGGAAUGCUUCCAGGUCACGACAGGUUAUCACUGGCGUCUCCGAGACCCUGAAGGGGUCGUGAGGUUCAGCUUUUAUUCUGAAGGAGCCGUUGCUGUCAGGUGUAACUUGCAACAGAUUUUAUCCAGCUUGUCGAGGUUCUAUAUGGCUGAAGAGGAAGUCCGGAUGGCCGGUCCGAGACUUCUCUAGAACGCUUUGAACUAAAGAAAAGGUGGCGUGGGAUAGUUUUUAUAAUUGUCAUAUUUUGGUUUACUGGCGAAUCAGAAUUUGACGUGCAAAAGAGGGUUUAUACAAACACCACAGAUAACCACGCCUAGCCAGAAACGAAGGUUCUGAUUGGAUCAGACAAAAGGAAAUGUGUCGUGUGACUUUAGCAUUAUGUGUCAUUAGUGUCUAGUGCAAAUGUCCAAGAUUAUAAUUACUUGUAAAAUACUACUGAUCACAUGAUUAUAACAUCAAGUAAUAACAUUGUCAUUUCACAGAUUGAUUGAACAUUGGGCUCACAUUAUUAUUGGUAAUAACAAAGUUGUUGAUUAUGUAUUUAUCGAGAGAGUUCUUCGUCUUUGUCUUGAGCUGUAACAGAGGUGAAGCAGUUCAGAUGAGCAGAGUGCAUGAAAGACCUUGGCCACAAUCUCAUGUAGAUUAAGCUGUCAGAGACUUUAUGUCUCUGCUCGAGCAGACGCAGCAGAUCAUGACCUUUAGGUCAUAAACAGGACAUUCAUGACGCUACACCUCUCACCUAACUUAAGGUUAGUGUCCCUAGGAGCUCUGUCAGCCUAGCCGCAAGGAUGGAGCCAUACCAGAAGUGUUGGCUCGCUAGCGGCAUGGUGAUGCUGGUAGGAAUAAUGAUAAUGAAACUUUGUUGCUUGUCUACAAGAAAGAGGUUAAUGGUGUUCAUAACCUCACAUGACCUCUCCUGCAGAACACGAUGGGUCCCCCACGAGUUUCCCACCAACUCCUAGUGGAAGUUCAUGAACUUCACCACUCACGACAACAAUAGGACCAACUGUUAUGCCUGCUCACACAUGCCUAAGUCCUUUCAGAACUACGGGCUGUGGCCCUACAACCUCACAGGGUUAAAAAGCCAUAUGGCUGUUUGGACUGUCAAUACAGCCAGGGGGACAGACCUGGAGUAGAGCCAAUUUCUCCAUCCUCCUCAACAUCACCUCCCUGGGAAGCCCUCUGAGUGAUUCCCCCUGCGAGGGACAGCGGAUGGGCCCAACUUCCAAGAUCACUCCCAAGCCUGGUAAUGACCAGCCACCUCCCAGACAAAUUUUUCCCUGUCUGUGGUAGCCAACGGAUCUAGAUGGGUGGGAAAACUCCCCCUGCACCUCUGCAACCUCCUUUUUCAGGACUGCUCACAAAAUGUGACUCUUAGGAACCAAAGCUGCACCUACGAGGCCCACCACCGGCUGGUCCUGAACAAAAGCACCACCAACUGCUCUCAACUAACCCCGCCUCCCCAGGGCACCAGAGUUUUGAGCGACUUCUACUGGCUUUGUGACAACAAAGCCUGGAUCUCCCUACCGCACAACUAGUGUCAGAGUCUUUACAGCAAUCCUCAUUCUAAACAAGCAUAUAGCGACAGUGGAGAGGAAAACUCCCUUUUAACAGGAAGAAACCUCCAGAGAAUCCUGGCUCAGUAUAAGCAGCCAUCCUCCACGACUCACUGGGGAACGAGAAGACAGAGCAGGCACACACACACACACACACACACACACACACACACACACACACACACACACACACACACACAUAUACCAAGUAAUAUUUCUAUGGUUACAUUAUGAUUUCUUAGUAAAUAUUCUAUUUGGUGAGAGAUAAACUUUAUUGUAUUUAUCCUAGUGGAUCUAUAAUUAAACGGGUAAACUAGUAGUAGCACAUUCAACGUCAAAGAGAGUAAAAAGUUAUUAUCAGGAGAGGGAGAAAGUUUAAAUGGUUAGCAGCAGUGUGCUAGAUCAGGGAUUCCCAAAGUGUGGGGUGCGUGAGCUGCCGCUAGGGGGUGCGCGAGGUGAAAAGUGUAAUGGCUGCGGAGCUCAGAGAAGUCUGUCAGAUGUCACCAUUAGCGUAGAAACUCAUUUGUGGGUGGGCCAAAGAAAAAGUAAGUGGACACAAUAAAUGUAAUUGAAAACAAGUAUAUUUUUGCGUGCGCGUGUGCGUCCUCCACAUGUGUUCUAGCUUCAUAAUAACAAUGCGCCGAGCUUCAGCACUCUGGCCUGCGCACGCCGAUAUGUUCCGUAUUUGAUCAUUUUUAACGGUUUUGGAGAAAUCUGAAGGUGGCGAGUCAUUCUGGCAGAUUGUAAUUAACACCUUGUCUCAUGCAGGUGUUCUGACAUUGUAAACCUCACACACAGAACAUUGUGGAUGUAAAUAAAUAACAAGAAAUGAUUCCCAUUCAGGCUAUUAACAGCGUGCCGGAGAUCUGAAGUUCAGAGUGCGUCUGUCAGAGGUCAGACGCGUGCCAGCGGAACCACGGCUCACGGGUGCACAAGUGAGCACGUCUGGGCUGGGCAGAAGUCAUUUUACAACAUUGGUUUAAAUAGCGCUAAUAACGAGAUGCGGUGACUGGAGCGGCUCAUGGAGCUGUGCCGUGCGCGCGCGCACACACACACACACACACACACACACACACACACACAGAUUCAAUAAGAGCGCACGCUGCGCAAACUCCGGCGCCCCAGAAAUGAGUGCUGCGUCCUCUGUGAUAAAAACUUUAAAGAGGUUUUGUAACAUUUUUCAUUCCAGGUCAAAUUAAGAUAUUAGCUUCUAUUUUGGGAUGACGUAUUAAAGUCGGGUCUGCUCCAGCAGUGACUGACUACAACCCCUGUUGCAGCAUUUGUUGUUCCAGUCCGCGUGGCAGCGGAUUGCAGAUUCAGCCACCAUAAAACAGCAAUUAGUCGGUCUGAGGCAAAAGUGAACCUCAUGGCUUUUCCAUCUUUUCCCCUAUAGACAUUUGAUUACGCACAAGUAGGUGACCAGUUCAGGUUUACGCAGAACAGAAGGAAGGAGAGCGCUCUGGCCGCACAGGUUAAACGUUCCUACUUUAAGAAAACCAUUAAAUUGCAUUGUUUAUGUUCUACCUGGGCACUCUAAAUAUUUAUUUAAAAUUAAAUCAAAGGAAAUUGUAAUGGUAUCGAAUGUUUAUUAAUUACUAUUUAAAAAAUGAAAGCUAUGGGGAACAAGGUCGAUCAUAUUUUUUUAACCGUGUCUGUUUAGC
This is a non-coding RNA of Nothobranchius furzeri (turquoise killifish), 12754 nucleotides long. The record is from RefSeq and is a predicted model, not a curated record. NCBI's taxonomy places the organism in Eukaryota, Metazoa, Chordata, Actinopteri, Cyprinodontiformes, Nothobranchiidae.